AACUGUGCAGCUCUUCAAUGGAGCAGUCUUCCAACCUCUCACCCAAAAGUUUCCUGCACCGCCUCAACGCAGAUUAGUCCGUGGGCAGGUUGGAAGAACCAAAGUUCCUAAAGAAUGAAGAUGAGGGGCAUUAGAAGAGACCACAUUGCAUUACCAUCGCCAUGAAGAACAUGAUCAAAAGACAGCAUCGAUCGUGUUAGAUGGCUUGGUGGUAAACUAUCUUGUUCUUUGUCUUCAAAACUAGAAAAACAUCGUUCCUUUAUAUAUGUGUACUUUGGUCUUGGUUUUGUAAUCGUUGUUAGACAUUCGACGUUUUGUGAGA
Molecule: long non-coding RNA, 322 nt
Organism: Zea mays
Lineage: Eukaryota; Viridiplantae; Streptophyta; Magnoliopsida; Poales; Poaceae
Exons: 2
Source: RefSeq, a predicted model, not a curated record